AACGAACGCUGGCGGCGUGCUUAACACAUGCAAGUCGAACGAGUGGCGGACGGGUGAGUAAUGUAUGGGGACUGCCCGAUAGAGGGGGAUAACUACUGGAAACGGUGGCUAAUACCGCAUACUAUCGGAUAACCCAUAUGGGAUUAGCUAGUAGGUAAGGUAAUGGCUUACCUAGGCGACGAUCCCUAGCUGGUCUGAGAGGAUGAUCAGCCAAACGGGGACUGAGACACGGCCCAGACUCCUACGGAGGCAGCAGUGGGGAAUAUGGCACAAUGGGCGAAAGCCUGAUGCAGCCAUGCCGCGUGUAUGAAGAAGGCCCUAGGGUUGUAAAGUACGUUCAGUCGGGAGGCGUUACCGACAGAAGAAGCACCGGCUAACUCCGUGCCAGCAGCCGCGGUAAUAC
Molecule: ribosomal RNA, 403 nt
Filed under: uncultured bacterium
Lineage: Bacteria
Description: partial 16S ribosomal RNA
Rfam family: Bacterial small subunit ribosomal RNA
Source: RNAcentral